AUUGAACGCUGGCGGUAGGCCUAACACAUGCAAGUCGAGCGGAUGAAGGGAGCUUGCUCCUGGAUUCAGCGGCGGACGGGUGAGUAAUGCCUAGGAAUCUGCCUGGUAGUGUGGGAUAACGUCCGGAAACGGGCGCUAAUACCGCAUACGUCCUGAGGGAGAAAGUGGGGGAUCUUCGGACCUCACGCUAUCAGAUGAGCCUAUGUCGGAUUAGCUAGUUGGUGGGGUAAAGGCCUACCAAGGCGACGAUCCGUAACUGGUCUGAGAGGAUGAUCAGUCACACUGGAACUGAAAACCGGUCCAAACUCCUACGGAAGGCAGCAGUGGGGAAUAUUGGAAAAUGGGCGAAAGCCUGAUCCAGCCAAGCCGCGUGUGUGAAGAAGGUCUUCGGAUUGUAAAGCACUUUAAGUUGGAAGAAAGGGAGGUAAGUUAAUACCUGGCUGUUUUGACGUUACCAACAGAAUAGGCACCGGCUAACUUCGU
RNAcentral lists this ribosomal RNA (483 nucleotides) under uncultured bacterium. RNAcentral's name for it is "partial 16S ribosomal RNA". It matches the Rfam family "Bacterial small subunit ribosomal RNA", at positions 30 to 506 of the family's 1533-position model. The record is from RNAcentral.